UACGUAGGGAGCAAGCGUUGUCCGGAAUUAUUGGGCGUAAAGCGCGCGUAGGUGGCUUCGUAAGUCCGUUGUGAAAGUCAAAGGCUCAACCUUUGAAAGCCGAUGGAUACUGCGGAGCUAGAGUACGGAAGAGGCGAGUGGAAUUCCUGGUGUAGCGGUGGAAUGCGCAGAUAUCAGGAGGAACACCAAUAGCGAAGGCAGCUCGCUGGGACGUUACUGACACUGAGGCGCGAAAGCGUGGGGAGCGAACAGG
RNAcentral lists this ribosomal RNA (253 nucleotides) under uncultured bacterium. RNAcentral describes it as "partial 16S ribosomal RNA". It matches the Rfam family "Bacterial small subunit ribosomal RNA", at positions 524 to 776 of the family's 1533-position model. The record is from RNAcentral.